UCAAGACACUCUAAGCUGAUGGGAGAGAGCUUUUCUGUCAGCGUAACACCUCCACCUCUAUGUGAGGUGGUAGCUAUGUUGGCAGGGAAGUUCUCCCAUC
Gopherus evgoodei (Goodes thornscrub tortoise) is the source of this 100-nucleotide long non-coding RNA. RefSeq lists it as uncharacterized. The record is from RefSeq and is a predicted model, not a curated record. The transcript has 3 exons. Lineage: Eukaryota; Metazoa; Chordata; Testudines; Testudinidae.